Molecule: ribosomal RNA, 447 nt
Filed under: uncultured soil bacterium
Lineage: Bacteria
Description: bacterial SSU rRNA
Rfam family: Bacterial small subunit ribosomal RNA
Source: RNAcentral
AGAACGAACGCUGGCGGCAUGCCUAAUACAUGCAAGUCGAACGAACUCUUCGGAGUUAGUGGCGCACGGGUGCGUAACGCGUGGGAAUCUGCCCCUUGGCUCGGAAUAACAGUUGGAAACGACUGCUAAUACCGGAUGAUGACGAAAGUCCAAAGAUUUAUCGCCAAGGGAUGAGCCCGCGUAGGAUUAGCUAGUUGGUGAGGUAAAGGCUCACCAAGGCAACGAUCCUUAGCUGGUCUGAGAGGAUGAUCAGCCACACUGGGACUGAGACACGGCCCAGACUCCUACGGGAGGCAGCAGUAGGGAAUAUUGGACAAUGGGCGAAAGCCUGAUCCAGCAAUGCCGCGUGAGUGAUGAAGCCUUAGGGUUGUAAAGCUCUUUACCCGAGAUGAUAAUGACAGUAUCGGAGAAUAAGCCCCGGACUAACCGUCCGUCGCCAGCAGCCGC